UAUCUUGAAGAAUUUUAAAGAAAAAAAUUGAACCCUGCAGCUUUUGAAUUACACCCGAUAAUACCACCAGGUUAUUUUAACAAAUGUCGGUUGAACUUCAGUUUGCCAAUGGUAACACUUGACGCUAAAUAUUUCAUUCUUAACUGUUUUCAGGCUAAUGCUGUUCAUUAAAAUCAAUGGCGUGAACACUCGACAACCCAGUUAUUAUGUAACUUAGUCCUGUGUCUUGUUAUUGAAAUCCGCACGACCAUCCCUAAAAUCUUGGAUAUUUCUACUCGUCUGAGAAUUACAAUAGCAAAAAUACUUGUUGAUCACGUCACGUUCUGUUUUUAUGUUCUUUGUAGGAUUUCUUUUCGGGAAACGUUUGAAGGACAAAGAACUGUUAACGAGGUUGACUUCAAGACGAACAGAGGUAAUUACGUUCUACCGGGAUGGUUUCUAUGCUGCUUAUCUUUCUAGUACGAAAUUUACCGGGCUAUAAUCCUGUCAGAAUCUAUCGUAUCUGGUAUAACAGGUAGAUCAAACUGUGUAUUGGGUUUAUUGGUGCAAGAACUGCUAAAAUUGCAACGACGGGAAGCAAUUCUUUAUUUGGGUCGGCUUUGUGGUGUAGUUUAAUCGAUAGAGAACCUGAGCGUGCCCAUUUAAUCCUUUUCUUAAUGAUUGUGGUUAGAAUUAUAGGUUUUCUCUUUGCCUGGUCAUUUGAAAAGAUUGAAGUUUGAAGGUAUCGGCUCGAUGGUCUAGGGGUAUGAUUCUCGCUUUGGGUGCGAGAGGUCCCGGGUUCAAAUCCCGGUCGAGCCCACUUCGCAUUUAUUUUUCCAUUUUGUUGUUGAUGUUAUUGCAUUGUACAUGAUGCUCCCCUGACUACCAUUGUUGGUUUUUCUUGCACGUUCCGAGUGUGUUAUGUUUAGCUGAAUUCAUUCCAUUUUUUGUGCAACAAGCUAACCGUCUCGUCAGUUAGGCAUUCCACUCUUCUUUAAAGCAAUGUAUAUCAAACGUGGGUUAGCUAUGGCGUGGUGUGGUAAAAUUGUAAAAUGGAACUCAGAUAUUUUGAAAAUGUCAUAUUGUAAAGUACGUGU
Molecule: long non-coding RNA, 1076 nt
Organism: Daphnia magna
Lineage: Eukaryota; Metazoa; Arthropoda; Branchiopoda; Diplostraca; Daphniidae
Exons: 3
Source: RefSeq, a predicted model, not a curated record